AACGAACGCUGGCGGCAUGCCUAACACAUGCCAGUCGAACGAGACCUUCGGGUCUAGUGGCGCACGGGUGCGUAACGCGUGGGAACCUGCCCUUAGGGUCGGAAUAACUCCCCGAAAGGGGUGCUAAUACCGGAUAAUGUCUUCGGACCAAAGAUUUAUCGCCUUUGGAUGGGCCCGCGUUGGAUUAGCUAGUUGGUAGGGUAAAAGCCUACCAAGGCGACGAUCCAUAGCUGGUUUGUGAGGAUGAUCAGCCACACUGGGACUGAGACACGGCCCAGACUCCUACGGGAGGCAGCAGUGGGGAAUAUUGGACAAUGGGCGAAAGGCUGAUCCAGCAAUGCCGCGUGAGUGAUGAAGGCCUUAGGGUUGUAAAGCUCUUUUAACCGGGAUGAUAAUGACAGUACCGGGAGAAUAAGCUCCGGCUAACUCCGUG
RNAcentral lists this ribosomal RNA (433 nucleotides) under uncultured bacterium. Its description in RNAcentral is "partial 16S ribosomal RNA". It matches the Rfam family "Bacterial small subunit ribosomal RNA", at positions 29 to 507 of the family's 1533-position model. The record is from RNAcentral.